RNAcentral lists this ribosomal RNA (497 nucleotides) under uncultured bacterium. RNAcentral describes it as "partial 16S ribosomal RNA". It matches the Rfam family "Bacterial small subunit ribosomal RNA", at positions 28 to 507 of the family's 1533-position model. The record is from RNAcentral.
GAUGAACGCUGGCGGCGUGCCUAAUACAUGCAAGUCGAGCGAACGGACGAGAAGCUUGCUUUUUUGAUGUUAGCGGCGGACGGGUGAGUAACACGUGGAUAACCUACCUAUAAGACUGGGAUAACUUCGGGAAACCGGAGCUAAUACCGGAUAAUAUUUUGAACCGCAUGGUUCAAAAGUGAAAGACGGUCUUGCUGUCACUUAUAGAUGGAUCCGCGCUGCAUUAGCUAGUUGGUAAGGUAACGGCUUACCAAGGCAACGAUGCAUAGCCGAGCUGAGAGGGUGAUCAGCGACACAGGAAGUGAGACACGGUCCGGACUCAUACGGAAGGCAGCGGUAGCGAAUCUUCCGCUAGGGGCGAAGGUCAGACGGAGCAAAACCGCGUGAGUAAUGAAGGUCUUAUGAUCAUAGUACUCUGUUAUUAGGGAAGAGCAAGUUUGUAUAUAAGUGUGCACAUCUUGACAGUACCUAAUCAGAAGGCCACGGCUAAAUACGUG